Molecule: unclassified non-coding RNA, 327 nt
Filed under: soil metagenome
Description: partial contains 5.8S ribosomal RNA, internal transcribed spacer 2, and large subunit ribosomal RNA
Rfam family: 5.8S ribosomal RNA (bases 1-120)
Source: RNAcentral
GAUGAAGAACGCAGCGAAAUGCGAUAAGUAAUGUGAAUUGCAGAAUUCAGUGAAUCAUCGAAUCUUUGAACGCACAUUGCGCCCCCUGGUAUUCCGGGGGGCAUGCCUGUCCGAGCGUCAUUACAACCCUCAAGCUCAGCUUGGUGUUGGGCCCCGCCGCCCCGGCGGGCCCUAAAGUCAGUGGCGGUGCCGUCCGGCUCCGAGCGUAGUAAUUCUUCUCGCUAUAGGGUUCCGGAGGGAUGCUGGCCAACAACCCCCAACUUUUAAGGUUGACCUCGGAUCAGGUAGGGAUACCCGCUGAACUUAAGCAUAUCAAUAAGCGGAGGA